UUAAUGUGUCUUGUGAAUACUGAUGGGAGU
This 30-nucleotide non-coding RNA is filed under the name Mus musculus (house mouse). The record is from RNAcentral. Lineage: Eukaryota; Metazoa; Chordata; Mammalia; Rodentia; Muridae.